GUUUGAGUUCAUUUAUAGUCAGAGGGUUUUAAUUUACUUGUGAAGUUCACACUAUUGAAACUAAUUGCAAUGCUUGACUUUAUUUUCUUUAGAGUCCAAGAAAGAGAAAAACAAGGCAUAGCACAAAUCCCCCUCUAGAGUGUCAUGUUGGUUGGGUAAUGGAUUCCAGAGACCAUGGGCCAAGAACAUCCUCUGUCAGCACUUCAAAUGCUUCACCUUCAGAAGGCGCACCACUAGCAGGAAGUUAUGGAUGUACUCCUCAUUCAUUCCCAAAGUUCCAGCAUCCUUCUCAUGAACUUUUGAAGGAAAAUGGCUUUACCCAACAAGUGUACCACAGGUAUCGUCGAAGAUGCCUAAGUGAGAGAAAACGCUUGGGAAUUGGUCAGUCCCAAGAAAUGAAUACCCUCUUUCGUUUCUGGUCCUUUUUCCUCAGAGAUCACUUCAAUAAAAAAAUGUAUGAGGAAUUUAGACAACUUGCUUGGGAAGAUGCAAAAGAAAAUUACAGGUCAGCUGUAUGGACUAGAAAAGUUUUGGGCUUAUUUGAAAUAUUCUCAAUCUAAGACACAGUCUAUUGACCCAAAACUUCAGGAAUACCUCUGUAGUUUUAAGAGGUUAGAAGACUUCCGUGUUGAUCCCCCUAUUAGUGAUGAAUUUGGAAGAAAAAGACAUUCCUCUACUUCUGGUGAGGAGAGUUAUCGUCAUAGACUUCCACCUAAUUCCUCUACAAAGCCACCAAAUGCUGCUAAACCUACAUCUACCAGUGAGCUUCAGGAGGCUGAUCCAAUAGAGUAAUACCUAAUUAUAUCACCAUGAGAUGGCAAAACGGAAUGUCAGAUCUGUAGACUUUUGACAGGAAAAAUCACCAUGAUCGAUUACUUCUGCUCAUCGUAAACAUCUAGUUCCUAAGCAGGAUAUGAGAAUCUGCCUUCCUGUGACCUCUCCUGGGCUCAGUGACACUCCAGUCGCCGCCCCACCCCACACCAAUGCCACUUCCAAGUUUGACUUGCAUCUUACAAACCAUAUUUCUGUUUACUUUUUUUCUGCCCUGGGACAUUUUUAAUAACUUUUAGAUAACAACUUCAACAAAAAUUUACCUCCCACCAA
This 1104-nucleotide small RNA is filed under the name Pan troglodytes (chimpanzee). RNAcentral describes it as "processed transcript". The record is from RNAcentral. Lineage: Eukaryota; Metazoa; Chordata; Mammalia; Primates; Hominidae.